GACGAACGCUGGCGGCGUGCUUAACACAUGCAAGUCGAACGAUGAACCCGGAGCUUGCUCUGGGGGAUUAGUGGCGAACGGGUGAGUAACACGUGAGUAACCUGCCCUGGACUCUGGGAUAAGCGUUGGAAACGACGUCUAAUACCGGAUAGGACCUUGGAUCGCAUGAUCUGGGGUGGAAAGUUUUUUCGGCCUGGGAUGGACUCGCGGCCUAUCAGCUUGUUGGUGAGGUAAUGGCUCACCAAGGCGUCGACGGGUAGCCGGCCUGAGAGGGUGACCGGCCACACUGGGACUGAGACACGGCCCAGACUCCUACGGGAGGCAGCAGUGGGGAAUAUUGCACAAUGGGCGAAAGCCUGAUGCAGCAACGCCGCGUGCGGGAUGACGGCCUUCGGGUUGUAAACCGCUUUUAGUAGGGAAGAAGGGCUUCGGCUUGACGGUACCUGCAGAAAAAGGACCGGCUAACUACGUG
This 472-nucleotide ribosomal RNA is filed under the name uncultured bacterium. Its description in RNAcentral is "partial 16S ribosomal RNA". It matches the Rfam family "Bacterial small subunit ribosomal RNA", at positions 28 to 507 of the family's 1533-position model. The record is from RNAcentral.